Long non-coding RNA from Leopardus geoffroyi (Geoffroy's cat), 202 nucleotides. RefSeq lists it as uncharacterized. The record is from RefSeq and is a predicted model, not a curated record. The transcript has 2 exons. NCBI's taxonomy places the organism in Eukaryota, Metazoa, Chordata, Mammalia, Carnivora, Felidae.
CCUUGCUGUAUGGGUAUGUUACUUUUUCACUUUGAGUUACUCAAAAAAUAACAUGUCUUCAGAAACUGUUGACCGUGUACCUCUACAAGUAUAAGGUGAAGAAUGAAGCCUACCCUAUUUGGUGAGAUGCCAUCCUGCUUUUCAUGAAACAUACCUUUUUAAAUUGACAGCUACAUAUUAUAAAUGAUAAAUUUUGAGAUUA